CAGGGAGACAACAAAAUGUUUAAUAUAAUUUUGUCACCUUAGGUCGAUCGGUACCUCACAUUCUUAUUUUUAAGAAUUUCAUAUCCUAAGUUUUUCUAGGUCACACCCAUUACUUUUCCUGGGCCAUUAGCUCAGGUGGUUAGAGCGCACCCCUGAUAAGGGUGAGGUCCCUGGUUCAAGUCCAGGAUGGCCCAUAUCUCUAUGUUGGGGGUAUAGCUCAGUUGGUAGAGCGCCUGCUUUGCAAGCAGGAUGUCAGCGGUUCGAGUCCGCUUACCUCCACUGAUUACCACCUCUCCCAAAGAUUUGGAGAUAAGGAAAUGUAUUGAGUUGUGAUCCAUCCUGAACGAAUCUAGCUUCCUAAUAAAUAUAUUAAGAUGCUGGACUCAUUGAAUUAUUUUCAUUGUUUUCAGAGAACCUUGACAACUGCAUAGAUUUUUUUUAAAGACAAUAAGCAUCUUUAAUGAUGCAGAUUUUUUAUUUGUGCGAAUGCAUUAAUAACAAUUCUAUUAAGCUGAUGCUUCAAUUUUUGAAGUUAUU
This 537-nucleotide transfer RNA is filed under the name uncultured cyanobacterium. Its description in RNAcentral is "partial 16S-23S ribosomal RNA intergenic spacer". The stretch from base 207 to 279 matches the Rfam family "tRNA". Lineage: Bacteria; Bacillati; Cyanobacteriota. The record is from RNAcentral.